UCCUGAGUGGCUCAGUCAGUUGAGCAUCUGACUUCAGCUCAGGUAAGAUCUCACAGCUGGUGAGUUCGAGCCCACGUCAGGAG
This 83-nucleotide transfer RNA is filed under the name Felis catus (domestic cat). It matches the Rfam family "tRNA". From Rfam's summary of the family: Transfer RNA (tRNA) molecules are approximately 80 nucleotides in length. Lineage: Eukaryota; Metazoa; Chordata; Mammalia; Carnivora; Felidae. The record is from Rfam by way of RNAcentral.